RNAcentral lists this ribosomal RNA (537 nucleotides) under uncultured bacterium. RNAcentral's name for it is "bacterial SSU rRNA". It matches the Rfam family "Bacterial small subunit ribosomal RNA", at positions 624 to 1164 of the family's 1533-position model. The record is from RNAcentral.
CAUCCGAUAUGGGCGAGCUAGAGUAUCGUNGGGGAGACUGGAAUCCUGGAGUAGCGGUCGAAUGCGCAGAUAUCAGGAGGAACACCAAUGGCGAAGGCAGGUCUGUGGGCCAAUACUGACACUGAGGAGCGAAAGCGUGCGGAGCGAACAGGAUUAGAUACCUAGGUAGACCACGCCUGAACGGUGGGCUCUAGUAGUGGGAACCUAUCACGGUUUCUGCGACGCAGCUAACGCAUUAAGCGCCCCGCCUGGGGAGUACGAUCGCAAGAUUAAAACUCAAAGGGAUUGACGGGGCCCCGCACAAGCAGCGGAGCAUGCGGCUUAAUUNGACGCAACGCGAAGAACCUUACCAAGGCUUGACAUAUACAGGAAUACGGCAGAGAUGUCGUAGCGGUAAAACGUCUGUAUACAGGUGGUGCAUGGUNGUCGUCAGCUCGUGUCGUGAGAUGUUGGGUUAAGUCCCGCAACGAGCGCAACCCUCGUUCUCUGUUGCCAGCAUUUAGUUGGGGAUUCACAGGUGGCUGCCGGUGUUUACUC